This 459-nucleotide ribosomal RNA is filed under the name uncultured bacterium. RNAcentral describes it as "partial 16S ribosomal RNA". It matches the Rfam family "Bacterial small subunit ribosomal RNA", at positions 338 to 795 of the family's 1533-position model. The record is from RNAcentral.
CCUACGGGUGGCAGCAGUGAGGAAUAUUGGUCAAUGGGCGCGAGCCUGAACCAGCCAAGUCGCGUGAGGGAAGACGGUCCUAUGGAUUGUAAACCUCUUUUGUCGGGGAGCAAAAGACGCCACGCGUGGCGUUCCGAGAGUAACCGAAGAAAAAGCAUCGGCUAACUCCGUGCCAGCAGCCGCGGUAAUACGGAGGAUGCGAGCGUUAUCCGGAUUUAUUGGGUUUAAGGGGUGCGCAGGCGGAAGAUCAAGUCAGCGGUAAAAUUGAGAGGCUCAACCUCUUCGAGCCGUUGAAACUGGUGUUCUUGAGUGAGUGAGAGGUAGGCGGAAUGCGUGGUGUAGCGGUGAAAUGCAUAGAUAUCACGCAGAACUCCGAUUGCGAAGGCAGCAUACCGGCGCUCAACUGACGCUCAUGCACGAAAGUGUGGGUAUCGAACAGGAUUAGAUACCCCUGUAGUC